GACGAACGCUGGCGGCGUGCCUAAUACAUGCAAGUAGAACGCACAGUUUAUACCGUAGCUUGCUACACCAUAGACUGUGAGUUGCGAACGGGUGAGUAACGCGUAGGUAACCUGCCUGGUAGCGGGGGAUAACUAUUGGAAACGAUAGCUAAUACCGCAUAAUAUUGAUUAUUGCAUGAUAAUUAAUUGAAAGGUGCAAUUGCACCACUACCAGAUGGACCUGCGUUGUAUUAGCUAGUAGGUGAGGUAACGGCUCACCUAGGCGACGAUACAUAGCCGACCUGAGAGGGUGAUCGGCCACACUGGGACUGAGACACGGCCCAGACUCCUACGGGAGGCAGCAGUAGGGAAUCUUCGGCAAUGGACGCAAGUCUGACCGAGCAACGCCGCGUGAGUGAAGAAGGUUUUCGGAUCGUAAAGCUCUGUUGUAAGAGAAGAACGGGUGUGAGAGUGGAAAGUUCACACUGUGACGGUAUCUUACCAGAAAGGGACGGCUAACUACGUG
This 505-nucleotide ribosomal RNA is filed under the name uncultured bacterium. RNAcentral describes it as "partial 16S ribosomal RNA". It matches the Rfam family "Bacterial small subunit ribosomal RNA", at positions 28 to 507 of the family's 1533-position model. The record is from RNAcentral.